UAAUACGGGGGGAGCAAGCGUUGUUCGGAUUUACUGGGCGUAAAGGGCGCGUAGGCGGCCACCGCAAGUCAGUUGUGAAAUCUCUGGGCUUAACCCAGAAAGGUCAACUGAUACUGCGGGGCUAGAGUGCAGAAGGGGCAACUGGAAUUCUCGGUGUAGCGGUGAAAUGCGUAGAUAUCGAGAGGAACACCUGCGGCGAAGGCGGGUUGCUGGGCUGACACUGACGCUGAGGCGCGAAAGCUAGGGGAGCGAACGGGAUUAGAUACCCCGGUAGUCCUAGCCUUAAACGAUGAAUGCUUGGUGUCUGGGGUUUUAUAGUCCCCGGGUGCCGUCGCUAACGCUUUAAGCAUUCCGCCUGGGGAGUACGGUCGCAAGACUG
This 379-nucleotide ribosomal RNA is filed under the name uncultured bacterium. RNAcentral describes it as "bacterial SSU rRNA". It matches the Rfam family "Bacterial small subunit ribosomal RNA", at positions 521 to 896 of the family's 1533-position model. The record is from RNAcentral.